AAAGGCGCAAAAUCACUUUGACUUCACGCUUUUGGUCAAAAUAAAUAAAUAAAUAAUAUAUUCAAAAGGGACCAGAUUUGGAGCCUUGAAGUAGCAAUAUUUUGCCUGGGGGUGGUGCAGACAGGGGAGGGAUGGAAAGGGAGGACAUGGAAAGGAGAGGAGCCGGGGCGAGAGAGCCCCACGCUCCCAGUUAAGUCGAAGGGGAAAAGUUGCCCCAGUCCUGAGCGCGGAGCGGCCCGAGUCGCGUUGCGGCGGCGGGGGGAGACGCGUCCGGCCGGGCCGCCGCUCGGGCUCGCGGCUGGGAGCCCAACUCCGCCCGGCGCGCCCCGGCCCGCGGCUCGCGGCCUCGGCUGCUCGCCGUCCUGCGCAGCGUGGGCUCCUCCCGGCACGGAAACUUUCGCUCGGGAAAGCCAGCGGGCGACAGGCGGCGAGGACGCAGGCUCCACCCGGCCGACGCGGUGGGACGCGCGGCCCCGCAGCCCCGCAGUCCCGCUCCGCGGAUCCCCGGGGCCGGCUCGCCGCCGCCCGCCCGGGUCCGAGGGGCGCUGUCCCGGCCGGGGCCCGGGGCGCUGGCCCGCGUCCUUCCCGCGGCCGGACCCCAAAGGCUGACAAAGAAUAAACAAAAGAGGGAGAAAAAAAACGUGAAAGGGAUGUCCCCUCAGGGAAGGGAGAUAUUCUCGUCCACAAACGCGUGCCCAGAACUGGACGCAGGCCUGUCAUUACCGUCCCUGUUCCCGGGACACCUCUGGAAGGGUGCCUUUUAAGAAUCCCCUCUUUUUCCCUCCCCCAGAUUUCAGUAGGAGAAAAACGUCCUAAAAGGCAAGCCGAGUUACAGAGACAACAUUCCUGGCCACGAGAACCCUUGCUGGGAUCUAUAACUUCAACGCGCUCCAAGUUUCCUCGAUAGAAGUUUCUGGCUGACAGUUCCAACAUGUAACUGAGGCACAGUGAGAAGUUAUUGUUCCGAGUGUGUACUCUUGGGAAGCUCUCUUCCAGAGAAGAUUAAAAUCUUUCUUUUGGUGUAUUAAAAGAUAGACCUCACAUCUGCCACUUCCCAAAACAGCAAAGAUUCUGACUUUUAAUUGCAUCUCAAGAAAAAGGAAAAGGGUUUUUUUUUUUAAAAAGCACUGGCACGUCGCCCUGGUUUUUGUUGUUGUUGUUGUUGUUUUUUAAUGGGGAAAAGUAAUUUAAUGCUGAUAUUUCUACUUUAAAAACUUCUUUUGUUGCAGCAAUGGAUGUGCCCGCGAUUUCCAGCUUUCUGCGGUUAGCAAUAUUAUCUUAAGUAACUUUUGGCGCCCUUCGUAAGACUUUUGGAUAUGGGACGAUUGUUUGCGCCCUCUAGGCAAGGGCUGGAUCCAAGUUCAGCACCAAAGCCCUUCACAUCCGCUCCUGCUUUCUCUCCUAUCUCCGCCAGCUCCCGCUCCCUCCCCCGCGGGGAGGGGGGUGGGGUGGAGAGGCGGGGGAAGCUCUACAAAGCACAGCUCCAACGACAGCCUUUGGAAACCGGACCGAGAAAAAUACAGUAGAAGAGUUACAGUUACAGAGAGGCUUCUGGUAACUUUCUCUCCAACAGGCAUAAAUUUAAACACACACACAAAGAAACAGAUGUUCCUCAAAGGGCAGUCUGGGGGUAAAAAACAUUUCCAACUCUCUCCCCUGGUCCCAAGUUACAAAAGUAAAUCCUUGUCCAGAGUUCACAAAGAUACUGAGACCCUUGAAAGAGAACAGGGAUGAAGGGUGAAGGGAAGGAAGAAAGGAUAGUGGAGAGAA
Long non-coding RNA from Cervus elaphus (red deer), 1770 nucleotides. RefSeq lists it as uncharacterized. The record is from RefSeq and is a predicted model, not a curated record. The transcript is spliced from 3 exons. NCBI's taxonomy places the organism in Eukaryota, Metazoa, Chordata, Mammalia, Artiodactyla, Cervidae.